UUGAAUAAAUCUGAUGGGUUGUAGCUGGCUCUCUUGGGAGCAUGUGCACGCCUGUCGUCUUUAUUUCUCCACCUGUGCACUUCUUGUAGAUCUGGAUAAUUUCUCCGGGGUAACUCGGGUUGGCGAACUGCUGGUUUUGCAAUCAGCUGUUUGUAAAUUUCCAGAUCUAUGUUUUCAUAAACCCAUUGUAUAAUAAAGAAUGUGUUUUAGGCUUUAUGCCUAUAAAGUUAAUA
RNAcentral lists this unclassified non-coding RNA (233 nucleotides) under uncultured Cortinariaceae. Its description in RNAcentral is "sequence contains ITS1". The record is from RNAcentral. Lineage: Eukaryota; Fungi; Basidiomycota; Agaricomycetes; Agaricales; Cortinariaceae.